Molecule: ribosomal RNA, 493 nt
Filed under: uncultured bacterium
Lineage: Bacteria
Description: partial 16S ribosomal RNA
Rfam family: Bacterial small subunit ribosomal RNA
Source: RNAcentral
GACGAACGCUGGCGGCGUGCUUAACACAUGCAAGUCGAACGGUGAAGCACCUUCCUUUUGGUGGGUGUGGAUGAGUGGCGAACGGGUGAGUAACACGUGAGUAACCUGCCCCCUUCUUCUGGAUAACCGCAUGAAAGUGUGGCUAAUACGGGAUAUUCUGGGUCUGUCGCAUGGCGGGCCUGGGAAAGAUAUUGUUUCGGUGGGGGAUGGGCUCGCGGUCUAUCAGCUUGUUGGUGGGGUGAUGGCCUACCAAGGCGGUGACGGGUAGCCGGCCUGGGAGGGUGGACGGUCACACUGGGACUGAGACACGGCCCAGACUCCUACGGGAGGCAGCAGUGGGGAAUAUUGCACAAUGGGCGCAAGCCUGAUGCAGCGACGCCGCGUGAGGGAUGGAGGCCUUCGGGUUGUAAACCUCUUUCGCCAGUGAAGCAGGCCUGUCCCUUUUGUGGGUGGGUUGACGGUAGCUGGAUAAGAAGCGCCGGCUAACUACGUG